This 519-nucleotide ribosomal RNA is filed under the name Timarete posteria. RNAcentral describes it as "partial 16S ribosomal RNA". It matches the Rfam family "Bacterial large subunit ribosomal RNA", at positions 1817 to 2604 of the family's 2925-position model. Lineage: Eukaryota; Metazoa; Annelida; Polychaeta; Terebellida; Cirratulidae. The record is from RNAcentral.
CGCCACUUGCACCCACUAAAUAAGUGGUACAUCCUGCCCAGUGAUAAAAUUUAAACGGCCGCGGUAGCCCGUGCUAAGGUAGCAUAAUCACUCGCCUUUUAAUUAGAGGAUAGAAUGAAUGGACAAACGAAUGUUCUUCUGUCUCUUUUUUAAUACUAAAAAUUAACAUUUAGGUGAAGAGGCCUAAAUAGCGUAAAAAGACAAAAAGACCCUGCAGAGCUUUAUUUAAUUUAUAUUAUUAAAACUAUUAUAUAAAUUAUAAACAAUAUAAAAAAAAUUUGGUUGGGGCAACCCGGGAACAAAAAAAUCAUCCCGCAAAUAAUCAGACAUAUAAGUCAUAAAUAGAAACAGCCAUGUGCUAAUAAAAAGAAACAGCUACCUCAGGGAUAACAGGCCAAUCCUUCUUAAGAGUUCAUAUCGACAGAACGGGCUUGGUACCUCGAUGUUGGCUUAAGGGCAGCCACUUCAAUGCAGAAGUUAAAGCGGCAGGUCUGUUCGACCUUUAAUCCCUUUCAUGAG